This 553-nucleotide ribosomal RNA is filed under the name Agaricus augustus. RNAcentral's name for it is "LSU rRNA". It matches the Rfam family "Eukaryotic large subunit ribosomal RNA", at positions 67 to 620 of the family's 3401-position model. The record is from RNAcentral. Lineage: Eukaryota; Fungi; Basidiomycota; Agaricomycetes; Agaricales; Agaricaceae.
AACAAGGAUUCCCCUAGUAACUGCGAGUGAAGCGGGAAAAGCUCAAAUUUAAAAUCUGGCGGUCUCUGGCCGUCCGAGUUGUAAUCUAGAGAAGUAAUGCCCGUGCUGGACCGUGUAUAAGUCUCCUGGGAUGGAGCGUCAUAGAGGGUGAGAAUCCCGUCUUUGACACGGACUACCAGUGCAUUGUGGUAUGCUCUCAAAGAGUCGAGUUGUUUGGGAAUGCAGCUCAAAAUGGGUGGUAAAUUCCAUCUAAAGCUAAAUAUUGGCGAGAGACCGAUAGCGAACAAGUACCGUGAGGGAAAGAUGAAAAGAACUUUGGAAAGAGAGUUAAACAGUACGUGAAAUUGCUGAAAGGGAAACGCUUGAAGUCAGUCGCGUUGGCCGGGGAUCAGCCUUGCUUUUGCAUGGUGUACUUUCUGGUUGACGGGUCAGCAUCAAUUUUGACCGCUGGAAAAAGACCUGGGGAAUGUGGCAGCUUCGGCUGUGUUAUAGCCCCUAGUCGCAUACAGUGGUUGGGAUUGAGGAACUCAGCACGCCGCAAGGCCGGGUUUCG